Molecule: transfer RNA, 72 nt
Filed under: Caligus rogercresseyi
Lineage: Eukaryota; Metazoa; Arthropoda; Copepoda; Siphonostomatoida; Caligidae
Description: tRNA-Thr
Source: RNAcentral
UGCCUCCAGAGAGGAUCGAACUCUCGACCCCUGGUUUACAAGACCAGUGCUCUGCCACUGAGCUAUAGAGGC